This 5930-nucleotide long non-coding RNA is filed under the name Selaginella moellendorffii. RNAcentral describes it as "long non-coding RNA (SMOE_LNC002266)". The record is from RNAcentral. Lineage: Eukaryota; Viridiplantae; Streptophyta; Lycopodiopsida; Selaginellales; Selaginellaceae.
AAACUUCGACCCAAAUUUUCCUCCAAUCUCCAGAGCCACCCUGCACACCUCGUCAUCCGCAUUCUCCACAGCAAGCCUAUCCAGAAGCUGCACAAUUCCAGGUCUCUGUCUCGGCGAGCAAAAACUCGAGGCUGUGAUCACAGCAAGGCGAGUCUCCACAGUGAGUGCAUGAUUCAAAGUCGUGAGCUGCUCCUUGAUCCGAGCAGUGAUCUCUUCAGUGCGUCGGUUUUGCUUGACAAGCCCUUGUCCAAAAAAUGCCUUCAACACACGGGCAUCCAAGUUCCCACUCUUGGUCGAGCCAGUAAAUCUUUGAAUCUUCACAUUCGCGGCUGCCAAUUCCUUUCCAAGCUCCUCUAUGACGACUGAUCUCACCCGGGUGAUAGGGCCAGACUCACCUGCUGCUUGAAGAUCCAGUAACAAACUCCCCGCAUGAUCCACACAAGAGACUAGAUCUUGCAGCUUGAGUGGUGCAUUUUUAAGCUCUUCCCUCACUUGGAGUAUGUGUUGCACAAGUUUUAUUGCCAGAUCUACCAAGCCGACCACACUUCCUGCCGUGUCCAUCUUACAAAACCUAUGGUAUGCUCCUCCUUUCAUCCUAGGAUUCCAGUGACAGUCAACACGGAAGGAAUUAUUCGAGCCAUUGCGAAACACUUAAGUCAGUAAAGAUGCCCUUUGUUGAAUAGCACUUUUUUCUUUAGGAUUCCCCCUGCUCCUUCCACUCAUCAAUUAGAGCACGAAAGGAGAGUUGUGUUUGGCACUGCUUGUCUCCGACGCCAUCUACAUCAAUGGAGCUCACCGGGUUCCAUAUCUUAUCUUCGCAGGUACGUAGCUUUCGAUUCCUUUCUCCUUUCUACGUCUUCUUUGAUUCUCUUGCGCGUUUUCUUUGAUGUACUGUUCUUAGAUUUUCUUCCAAGUUUCCUCUAGAGAGAUUCUUGUGAAGGAGCUAGAUGGGUUGGAGGUCAAGGGCGUCCAGGCAGAAAGUGUUAGCAUGGGUGGGUAAAGGGAACGCUUAAUGAUUCUUUGAAAAUAGAACGUCAGCAUAUACAUCUCCAAAUCGGGAUGCAUUCCAUCACCGUGGUGUUACUCUCGCAGCUGGAUCAUUUUGGUCUCGAGCUAAAGGAAAGAGCGCAGUACUGGGCUUUAGACUUUGGAUGGAGAUAAAAUCAUCCAGGGAAUUCGAAGCUUUUGCCUUUCGAGCCAAGCGUUGUUGCUUGUUUUUGGACGCUUGAGUUGCGUGUGGAUUAUCUUCUGGCGAAACAUCAUCCAGUGAGCUCAAAAGGUACAUGGAAUUGAAAAAGUCAAAAGAUGGUGGAACUGGUCUUACAUAGUCCAUCUGUAGGGCAAGCACGAUCAUGGAAGCAAUAGAUCACUUCUUGAGUGUCAUCCCAGUUCCGGCCUAUGGCCCUGCAACUGGGCAGCUCAAGCUGGAGAUUGAGUCGGCAGUGCAACGCCUCGAGGAGCAAUGCGGGGUAAGCCUUUGCAGUUGCAGCAGCAGUAGCAGCAAGAUUGAUCUCUCCAUCUGCGCCAGCAUGGCUUAUGCCAUGGUUCAUCUGGACAGAGUCAGCGACGCCAUUCUGUUAUUCGAAUCGAUUCAAGAGCGAGCUGCAAGCGAGGGGUAUGUCAGGUUCCAAGUCCUGGCCUUGAUCGAGAGAGGCAUCCUGCUCAGACCCGGUGUGGAAGAGCUGGAAUCCGCGAAGGCGGAUCUUGAGGCAGGACUGAGACUGGCGCAAGAUCAUCUGGGUGACGAUCUGAAUGAGGUUUUCCAGCUGAAUACCGUGGAGCGGGGCAAGUUCGAGCUGGGCUGGCUGCUGUUUGACAAAGGAGAGUUUGGCAGCGCAGUGGAGUAUCUCAAAGCGGGGCUCGCACCGCAUAUCGUCUACCACGCCGCGGGGGUGCACAGCUUCCUAGGAGACGCGUACCGCCGCUUAGGGGAACUUGACUUGGCGUUGGAGCAUGCCAAUGCAUGCGUCAGCUUGGGUGGCGGGCGGCAAUUCAACGGAUACAAGUUGCUUGGAUUCGUUUACAUGGAUCGAAAAGAGUACAAGCAGGCAGUGGAAUCUUUCCGGGAGAUGGCACUGGCCGCCGGAGAAGAGGAGAUUUUUGGAGUGGCGAGCUUUGGCUGGUGGGCUGCAGGUUGUUUGGCAGUGGAACAUUGCAGUGACUGUGACCAGGCUGUGGAUUGCUUGGUGUGGAGCUUGAAAGCGGCACUUCGAAUCCAGGGAGAUUUGCAGCUGCAAGCCAGGCGGCUUGCGAGUGCAAAUAUCUGGCUGCUAAAUUGUCUCCUCGUCCAGCAGCACGGCAGGGUGAUAUCCGAGUUUUUCGGUGAGUGCGAUGAGGAUGGUGGUGCUCAGAUGGUUCUUCCACGCUCCAUGCAAGUUCUCACGGGCGAAGCAUACGGGCUGCUUGGCGUGGUUAUGCUCUCCCGUGGCUCGCUAGACGAUGCUUACGAGCACUUGGACAGGGGCAUUAGUUUGCUGCCAGGAGACGAGACGGAGUUGCUGUUUCGUUUCCAUCGUGCAAUGGGGUUGCUGCUCUCCCGGAGGUCGGAGCACGAUAAGGCCUUGGAGAGGUUUGAGCUGUGCACUGCAUUGGCUCCAACGGAGAGAGACAAGGUUUCUUCACACAUCAGGUGCUGCCUCGAGGUGAAGUCGUGCUUGGAUAUAGUGAGAGCUUUCGAGAUGUUUGGCCGCAUUCAAGCGGAGCACGCGGCUUUGCUGGAGACGGACUGGGAUCUGAGAGUAGAUGUUAUGCUGGGAGUCGGGAAGUGCCUGUUUGCGCUUGGAAACAACAUCCAAGCUCAAGCGAAGCUGGAGAUCGCAAAGGAAACUUUGGAAGCGAGGGAGUGCUUGGACAAUCGCCUGGGCAUGGUGUACUCCAUACUCUUUUUGUGUUACGUCCAGAGCAGCCGUUUCAGCGCUGCUUUCGAUCUGGCCAGCCGGUUCAAGAGCAAGUAUGGCGAAGACCCUCACUUGAUGUUCUACUAUGGCGUUGCAAACCGGCUCCUCGGAGACAAUGAGGCAUCCGUCAAGACGCUAACGGACUUGCUUGAAGCCUCGAAGCAUUGGACGCUCAGGUACUCGACGCUAAAUGGUCUGGCAUACGCAUAUAGAAAGAUGGGAGACUUGGAUUCGGCUCUUGACAAGUUUGAUCAGGCUCUGGAAGAGAUUCCCGACGACAUGUCGAUACAUGCGGCACAGGUUUAUAUCAACCGCGCAGGACUGUUCAAUGACAGAGGAGCUGAGCAACAACGCAAAGGCAAUCCUGUCCCGGCUAUGGCCUCCUUCGAGAAAGCGCUGGCUGAGUACGAUCGAGCAGUACAAAUCAUGCGGAGAUUCGGCGAGUGGAACCUGCAAGAUCUUGUGAGAGCUUAUGCCGGGGAAGCAGUGGUUCACUUCCACAUGAAAAACUACAGCGUUGCUAUGCUUAAGCUGGACAGUGCUACGAGCCUGGUAAGCAGUGACGAUGCACUGCUCAUGGGAAAGAUCAAACGCAUUCGGGCUUCUAUACUCGCGACAGAAGGAAGAAUGGAGGAGUCGGCCUCGGAAGCUCGUGAAGCAGCUCACCUGUUUGCGGACGUCCAGAUGGAACUGCAAAACAUGGAGUCUGCUUGGGUGACUCUUCUGGAUGACGAUAUGAAGCACAUAUACUAUUUCUUGCAGAAGAUCUCAUCGAAGGCAAACAGUUUCGUGGAUGCACUCUUGUGGGCCGAGAGGAGUCGCAUGAGAUUGUACUUUCACUUGGCCGACCAAGCUCUUAGAAACUCCACUCCCGCAAGUCCAAAGUUACUGGACCCUUUGGCAUUCGACAAGGACGAUCACCACGCUGCAAGCUGCAUCAAAGAGGCUGUUGCGAGAGCUGGCUGUAACUCAGUGGUGGUGGAGUAUGCAUUCUCGGCAAACCAUCCACUCUCUUCACUACUCAUCUACGUUGUGCAUUCCACACCAGGGGAGGAUUUCACUGUCCGCUUCAAGCGCGUCCGCUUGCAGGAAUUCUUUGCUUCCAAGGAAAACAAGGUGAUGGGUGGAAAUCUAGACGCGCUCAUCAGGAAGGCCAGAACAGUGAUCCAACGCGAGAGCCACGAGGCAGAGGCAAAGGUGGCGCUGGGGAUUCUCUACAAGCUCACUGUCCUGCCUGUUUGGGAGCACAUCGAGCCCCAUGACACCGUCAUCUUUGCUCCACAAGGAACCAUGUCAGUCGUCCCGUUUGCCGCACUAUACGAUGGAUCCGAAGGCCGGUUCCUCGUCGAGAAGAAGAAUGUGGGAGUCAUCCCUUCCAUCCGAGCUCUGCGACGCUGCCAGCUCCACCAAGAGCAUCACCACGAUAUCGACGAGCCAUCUUUCUUCGUUGCUGGGGAUCCGGAGCCAAUGGGUCUCGAUCAGCCUCAACUUCCAGGUGCGAGGAAAGAAGCGGAGGAGAUUGCCAAGCAGCUCGGCGUGGAUGCGUUAGUCGGCGCAGCCAUGACAAAGAGCUCCGUCAUGCAAGCGCUGUCCAGCGCGUCCGUGCGUGUAGCCGUGCUCGCAACUCACGGGCUGGUGAGCCCGGCUUAUCCUCACGGUGCCUUGGUCAUGCAAGGGCAAAACCAGCAGCAAGGAUUCAACGAGCUUACAGUGGGUGUGACGAGCAGCCUCCGCCGAGAGGUCGAUCUUGCUUUGAAGCAACAAGCUGUGCUCCACGAUCAAGUUCUCACUGCCAAGGAGAUUGAGCGGCUGGAGAAGGGCAUCGCGGCUCGUCUCGUGGUUCUGAGCGCUUGUCAAACGGGCGAUGGCGUGGUUACCAGCGAGGGAUUGCUGGGGCUCGGGCGAGCAGUGUUGCAGGCUGGUGCGGCGUGUGUGCUUGUCACGCUGUGGAAAGUGGACGAUGCUGCCACACUGCAACUCAUGACUGGUAUCAAAACUUUUCCUUUUCGUUUCGUUUCUUACUUUGUUGCACAGGUGUGUUUGAAGAGCUCAACAAGCAACAUACCAUUGUCGAGGCCGUGAGGUUUUCGAUGCUCAAGUUGAUCGAUUCUGGAAAGCCCAUCCGCUUCUGGGCUCCUCUGGUUGCUCUAGGAAGUCCCACAUUGAGAAUAAGUUUGGCUGAGGAAGCUUAAGCUCCAGCCCAAUUCCACAAACUAGACUAAACACUUCAAUGUCGAAUUCGUAAUUACACUGGCAUGAUGUCAAAGAUGUAUUUCCUGACAAUUAUUUUGCUUGAGAUGUUGAUGUUAUCCUGGAUAUCUUUCAUCUCUAGCGCUCUGUGUGGUUCAUCUGUGGAAGACAAAACAGUUUAGAAAGCGAUAAGAAAAAAGAACUUUGAGAAGAAACCUUCAUGUAGUUUCGCCCCUGCGAAAACAAUGUAAACAAUCUGCUGCUCAACUUGUGUGAAGCUGGGAUCAGAGCUCUCGAUGCGGAAACUUAUGGGAUCACGCCUACUUUUCACUUGGUCUGGAAAAAAUCGCUUGAACUUGCUGUAAUGCAAUACAAAAUGUUAGGGAGUGUCUCAAAGUGUCUCAGGAAGUGCUAUAAAGUUAUGCUUGCAUGAACUUUACCUGUUAAGGCUAUGGUUUGCUAAAGAGUGAUUCGGAUAGAACAGCUCAACCAAUGCUUUGGUGCAAUCAAAGGUGACAACAUAGAAAAAGUAGUCGUCUUCAUCCACCGAUAUCUCAAACCUGAUCUUGGUAGAGUUUUCGAUCUCAUAACCUCCCUCUCGGGCCGCCCUUUUCAAGUCAUUAGAUUCUGGAGUUCUAGACAAAAACUUCGACCCAAAUUUUCCUCCAAUCUCCAGAGCCACCCUGCACACCUCGUCAUCCGCAUUCUCCACAGCAAGCCUAUCCAGAAGCUGCACAAUUCCAGGUCUCUGUCUCGGCGAGCAAAAACUCGAGGCUGUGAUCACAGCAAGGCGAGUCUCCACAGUGAGUGCAUGAUUCAAAGUCGUGAGCUGCUCCUUGAUCC